This 202-nucleotide unclassified non-coding RNA is filed under the name Crystallicutis serpens. Its description in RNAcentral is "partial internal transcribed spacer 2". The record is from RNAcentral. Lineage: Eukaryota; Fungi; Basidiomycota; Agaricomycetes; Polyporales; Irpicaceae.
AAUUCUCAACCCAAAGAAUUUUUUUUAUUCUGCGGGCUUGGACUUGGGGGCUUGUGUCGGCUCUAGCUCAGUCGACUCCUCUAAAAUGUAUUAGCGUGAAUCUUACGGAUCGCCUUCAGUGUGAUAAUUAUCUGCGCUGUGGCUGUGAAGUAUUUAAUUGACUCAUGCUUACAAUCGUCUCUUGGGAGACAGUUUAUAUGAC